RNAcentral lists this ribosomal RNA (492 nucleotides) under uncultured bacterium. RNAcentral's name for it is "partial 16S ribosomal RNA". It matches the Rfam family "Bacterial small subunit ribosomal RNA", at positions 29 to 507 of the family's 1533-position model. The record is from RNAcentral.
AGUGAACGCUGGCGGCAUGCCUAACACAUGCAAGUCGAGCGGCAGCACAGUAAGAGCUCGCUCUUACGGGUGGCGGGUGGCGGACGGGUGACGAGUACAUCGGAAACCACUAUUUCGGGGGGGAUAACGUAGGGACACUUACGCUAAUACCUCAUACUAUGUACGGGGGAAAGCAGAGGAGAUACGGAGCUUGCGCGACUGUAUGAGCCGACGUCGGAUUAGCUAGUUGGCAGGGUAAAGGCCCACCAAGGCGACGAUCCGUAGCUGGUCUGAGAGGAUGAUCAGCCACACUGGAACUGAGACACGGUCCAGACUCCUACGGGAGGCAGCAGUGGGGAAUAUUGGGCAAUGGGCGCAAGCCUGAUCCAGCCAUACCGCGUGGGUGAUGAAGGUCUUCGGAUCGUAAAGCUCUUUUGUUGGGAAAGAACAGCAGCGGGUUAAUCCCCCGAUGUUUUGACGGUACCCAAAGAAUAAGCACCGGCUAACUUCGUG